Molecule: transfer RNA, 95 nt
Filed under: bacterium
Lineage: Bacteria
Description: tRNA-Sec
Rfam family: Selenocysteine transfer RNA
Source: RNAcentral
GGAGGCGGAUAGGUGCUGGUGUGCCUGCUGGACUUCAAAUCCAGUCUGUCCCGGUUUCCGGGAUAGGUAGGUUCGAUUCCUACACGCCUCCGCCA